This 1548-nucleotide long non-coding RNA is filed under the name Homo sapiens (human). RNAcentral describes it as "HSALNT0023149". Lineage: Eukaryota; Metazoa; Chordata; Mammalia; Primates; Hominidae. The record is from RNAcentral.
AUUACCCGCCUGAGACUCCAAAGAGGUGUUUGCCAAAAAAGGCAGAUUCUUGGGCCACACCCGGCUCUAUGGAGUGGGAAGCGCUGAGGGUGGGGCCUGGGCGCCUGCUCUCAGAACUGGUGCCGCUGAAAGCUUGCAGAGCCCAAACGCUGCGAGGAGGUCGCACCAGCAAGUGAGGAAGCAGAAGGGAUGGCUUCCUGCGCCUCCCACACAAUUUUCAACUUUUCAGGAAGUACCAUAGGAGAAGUCAAGGCUUGGAAAUUGUGGUGAAAGAAGCUACGAAUGAGAUAAAUGUGUGUUCUUUCCACCCCUAAAAACAGUGUCACCACCACUCAUCCUUGAAACCAUCAGCAGCAGGGAAACCUGUGAGCGACGUUCACGUCUAGUGUCCAGUGCCUUGCGUGGUCCCAAUCACAAACCCCUAGCUCAGGGGCAGCGGGGCCAUGAACUAGGGAGGCCGCCGUAAUGACAGCCUGGCAGGAACCCUAUGUCCAAACCAGAGGAGCCCCCUCAGAGCAACCUCCACAGGCAGUGCUGCUGUCAAGGAAAUGCCAGAGCCGGGUGGUAGUUAACAUGGUAAGAGGAGACUUCAUUCAGGACCAUUGCAGUAGGGGAAACAGGUCCUCAGUAUAGAAGUGGGCUCAAUUCAGAAUACAGCAUAAGCAACUGGGACUCUACAGGCAAAGAGCAAGGUGAGGCUGGGUGGGUGGAAAAUUACAUCAGGGGUAAGGGGUCCUAGUUCAACCAACUCUGAGAAUAUAGAAAUAAACUCAGUUUCUCCCAUUAUAGCCUCAUAACACACUUCUGACACCAGCUGUGGGGAGGAUUUUCCCCACACCUCGAGCGAACAAUCAAUUCUGCAGUGGACCUCCACUUGGUCCUCCAACUGGGUAUUCUCCAAUUCAAUUCUGACAUUAUCCACCUGAGUGUCAGAUCCUGCAGGGUGAGGGAUCAGUCUCCAUGACUGCCCCCCGACUUUCAAAGCCAAUUGGAAGCCCCAAGUUCUUUAACCUGUCCUUCAAUGAACAGCUCUAAAUUAAGCUAUAAACUGAGGUUCCCAUGGCUCCAUCUUCAGGUUCCACUAAUUUGCUGGAGCAGCUCACAGAACUCAGGGAAACAUUAUAUUUACAUUUAUGGGUUUAUGACUGUCAGGUCUCUGAGCCCAAGCUAAGCCAUCAUAACCCCUGUGACCUGCACGUAUACAUCCAGAUGGCCUGAAACAACUAAAGAACCACAAAAGAAGUGAAAUAGCCAGUUCCUGCCUUAACUGAUGACAUUCCACCAUUAUGAUUUGUUCCUGUCCCACUCUAACUGAUCAAUUGACCUUGUGACAUUCCUUCUCCUGGACAGUGAGUCUCAGGGGCUCCCCACCAAGCACCUUGUGACCCCUGCCCCUGCCUGCAAGAGAAAAUCCCCUUUAACUGCAAUUUUCCACUACCUACCCAAAUCCUAUAAACCUGCCCCACCCCUAUCUCCCUUUGCUGACUCUCUUUUUGGACUCAGCCCACUUGCACCCAAGUGAAAAUAAACAGCCUUGUUGCUCACACA